CUCUUACACUGUUGGUGGGAAUGCAAACUAGUAUAGCCACUAUGGAGAACAAUAUGGAGAUUCCUUUAAAAACUAGGAAUAAAACUACCAUAUGACCCAGCAAUCCCACAACUGGGCAUUUACCCUGAGGAAGCCAUAAUUG
Molecule: long non-coding RNA, 142 nt
Organism: Cervus elaphus (red deer)
Lineage: Eukaryota; Metazoa; Chordata; Mammalia; Artiodactyla; Cervidae
Exons: 2
Source: RefSeq, a predicted model, not a curated record